Neopsephotus bourkii (Bourke's parrot) is the source of this 820-nucleotide long non-coding RNA. RefSeq lists it as uncharacterized. The record is from RefSeq and is a predicted model, not a curated record. NCBI's taxonomy places the organism in Eukaryota, Metazoa, Chordata, Aves, Psittaciformes, Psittacidae. The transcript has 3 exons.
UCCGGCCCGUGUACGGCGGCGCCUCCCGCAGCGCAGUGGGUGGUGAGGACACCGUAGACCCUCACCCCGGCGUGCUGUGCCCUGAAGGUCUGGAACCUGCGGGCACCUUAGGAUAGUGAAGACGAUUCCAGGGAGAUGGACAGCUCAAGCAAAUGAAGGGGAGAAACAGUCCUCAUCCAUAUGGUCUCUAGUCAGCUCUGCAUCACAUGUGCAAGUAAAGGUGUGAAAGGGAAAAGAAACAGGGAGAGAUAAGGAGAACCAGCCCAAGUCCAGCAAAAGUAGGCAGCAUCUGCAUUGCACCCUGCAUUAUGACUGCCACAUUCCUGCAAGUUCCCUAGCAGAAGUGCUUGCAGUCUGGCUCAGAUGAGACUCCUCACAACUUCACAACAUGCACACUUUGCCUACUACCUGCCCAGUCCUGCAUGUCCUGAGUCAGUCACGUUUGCUGGCUGCUGCAGCAGUGUUUGCAGACUCAUAGUGUCCCCCGUCAGAUCUGAUCUGCACGUCUCCAGUAUUUUCCUCAGGAUAUCCAGUGGCUGGGUCUGAACCAUCACGCCAACCAAACUGCCCAAUGCUUAGAAGUAAACAACAAACUGAAAGUGAAGCCCUUUGAACCCACCCAGUAGCCCUGCCUCAGCCCUCCACAGGGCUUCCUAGUUCAGGUCUAGUGUGGGACAAAGGCAAGAAACCUGCCUGAGAAGGAACCAGAACUCAUUCCCCAGGAAUCCUGAGUGCUGGCCAAUGCCAUGCAGGGUUGUUAGUGUGACUGUCAUUUUUGCUGUCUACAUCUGUGUUAUCUAGAUUUUAGGGUUAUCCACCU